RNAcentral lists this long non-coding RNA (360 nucleotides) under Rosa chinensis. RNAcentral's name for it is "sRNA RchiOBHm_Chr1g0358491". The record is from RNAcentral. Lineage: Eukaryota; Viridiplantae; Streptophyta; Magnoliopsida; Rosales; Rosaceae.
UGGUAGACCACGGCAGCUAGUUCAUGAAUACCCUUAGGUGCACACGACAGCUAUGGCCAUGUCGGCAUACUAAGGGUUUGCAUGAGGUAGGAAACAGAGGCUAGCUACCUUGAUCUUUUUGCCUUGUGGUGAAGUGAGUUCUGAAUGGUCUUCCGUACUCUAUUAAUUUUCAGUUUGGUUACUUUAAUAAACAAAAUAACAGCACAUUUUAAUACGUCACAUUAAAGAGAGUAUCAAUCUGUCGUAGCCAAAGUCUGCACAUUUUCUCAUAGCCAAAUCUGAAAGGAGGUCAGGUGAUCGAUGGAAGAUACAAAUAUGGUCUAAAAGUAAGACGUGCGAACUUCAAAAAAACUCAGCGAG